UCCUCGAUAGCUCAAUGGCAGAGCAUCCGGCUGUUAACCGGAGGGUUGCAGGUUCGAGUCCCGCUCGGGGAG
This 72-nucleotide transfer RNA is filed under the name Clostridium sp. RNAcentral's name for it is "tRNA-Asn". It matches the Rfam family "tRNA". From Rfam's summary of the family: Transfer RNA (tRNA) molecules are approximately 80 nucleotides in length. RNAcentral also lists the same sequence under 8 other names. Lineage: Bacteria; Bacillati; Bacillota; Clostridia; Eubacteriales; Clostridiaceae. The record is from RNAcentral.